Molecule: ribosomal RNA, 253 nt
Filed under: uncultured bacterium
Lineage: Bacteria
Description: partial 16S ribosomal RNA
Rfam family: Bacterial small subunit ribosomal RNA
Source: RNAcentral
UACGUAGGGUGCGAGCGUUAAUCGGAAUUACUGGGCGUAAAGCGUGCGCAGGCGGUUUUGUAAGUCUGUCGUGAAAUCCCCGGGCUCAACCUGGGAAUUGCGAUGGAGACUGCAAGGCUAGAAUCUGGCAGAGGGGGGUAGAAUUCCACGUGUAGCAGUGAAAUGCGUAGAUAUCGGGAGGAACACCUGUGGCGAAAGCGGCGCACUGGACCAUAACUGACGCUGAUGCACGAAAGCUAGGGGAGCAAACAGG